UAGAGAAGAAAUUCCAACAAACAGCAGCUUAUCGAAACAUGAAAGAGAUUCUUACCAAGAAGAAUGACCAAAUCAAAGACCUGAGGAAAAGACUGGCAAAAUACGAACUCGAAGAUUAAAAACUGAGGAAGAUUUCGCCUAGAAGCGGCCACAGCGUGAGAAGUACAAGUGGUUCCUCCCGCCAGGCGUGUAUUUGGAAGCAGCUUACUUUCCUCUCUUGAUUUUUCCAACAUAUAGACUGUUCUCCUAGUAUUUAGAACCCGAGUUCCUAUUUUCAGUUGCUUAAUUGAGAAGAGAGAAAACCUGCUGAUUCUGGUCGGUCUUUGCGGAAUAUUCCAGUCUUCGUUCAGAUACACUGAGAAUUCUUUACAGUAAAGAGAUUUUUCAGAAUGGGAAGAAGAGGCUUAUUUUUUCGCAGUAGUAUACGUAGUAUAAAGACUAUACCUUUUAAAGAAAUGGUAAAGCUAGUAAUAUCGUAUAUUGUGCGUUCCCCCCGGGGAAAUAUAGUUAUUGAAGAUAGUUACUACCAAUAAACCUUAUUUUUAAAAAUUAAA
This is a long non-coding RNA of Hipposideros armiger (great roundleaf bat), 554 nucleotides long. RefSeq lists it as uncharacterized. The transcript is spliced from 2 exons. The record is from RefSeq and is a predicted model, not a curated record. Lineage: Eukaryota; Metazoa; Chordata; Mammalia; Chiroptera; Hipposideridae.